ACUGGGGAGAGUUGAGUGAGCAUGAAAAGAACACUUUUAAAGACUCUGUUCCUGCCUCUCUUUCAGCCUCCCCCCCGCACCCACCCCAGCACUGAAGAAGCACAGGUGACAAAGGAGACUUGUGGAUUGAGUACAACUGACUCUUCAUCUGACAUCAGCCUCAGCUUCUUUACCUGCACUUUAGCCUUGAAGAAUCUUGCCACCCAGUUUGGAAGAAAGAGAGACAGAGCUCUGGGAUCACUUUACUGGAUGUCACCUGUUCUGUGCGGGAGGAAGAUCACACUCUGCCUUGAAACCCAGAAAUAAAAAAGGUUUCUGUCCGCUGGGUCCUUCAAAGCCUCCAGUGCUUCAGGGAAAUGGGAGGCUCUGUGCCUUACCUGGAUUCUGGUCCUAAAGGGAUGGUUUCUGGGAGUCAGACAAAAGCUAUGACUGCAGCUGUUGUAACUUGCAUGGUCCUGAAUCAAGGCAGGUGGAUUAUGUAUUCUCUUUGUUUUCACUCUGGAUUUGUGGGAAUGAAGGGUUAUUUUUCCCCUUGUCCAAAUAUCUUAAAUCAUUCAAAGGCAGCAUUAGAUUUUAAGCAGAAAAAUGCAAAUGUAACUGGGACACUUACAAUGACCUAAAUGCAUGCUGAUUACCUUUUCUGUUAUUUUCUGGCCUUAAAUAAAGAAAAUAAAAUAAAUGUCA
Molecule: long non-coding RNA, 684 nt
Filed under: Bos indicus x Bos taurus (hybrid cattle)
Lineage: Eukaryota; Metazoa; Chordata; Mammalia; Artiodactyla; Bovidae
Description: lncRNA (ENSBIXG00000019856.1)
Source: RNAcentral